Long non-coding RNA from Hippocampus comes (tiger tail seahorse), 546 nucleotides. RefSeq lists it as uncharacterized. Lineage: Eukaryota; Metazoa; Chordata; Actinopteri; Syngnathiformes; Syngnathidae. The transcript is spliced from 2 exons. The record is from RefSeq and is a predicted model, not a curated record.
GCAGAGGAAGAUAGAGGCGCUCGGGGUCCCAUCGACUGCCGCUGUCUAGGUCCCAGGAAAGAGCGGGUGCUGGCUCAUCUUCAGGCGAGAUGGUGGUGAUCUGGAUGCUGGGACACUCCACCACGCGGGACUCUGAAACCUGACAGAAGUCAUCGCCACAUGGCCCCGCCCCCUCGUCUCACUGACAGCUGUACGGUGACAUCAUGAACUCCACCGGCCAGUUGCUGAUGGAAAGCCGGCAUCACUGUGACGGGAUGUUUACUUUGUGGAGCAAAAGGUCAAACUGCUGGUCGGAGAACAUGACGACUGGAACAAACCAACCAUUUGGAGGCUUCUGGAACACGUGGCAAGACAACACCUCACCAAAAAAACCCACCAAGUGUAUCUUUCACACUGACACGUUCUCUGGGAGAAAAAAAUACUCAAGCCGUUCUCCUUAUUACUCAUCGUAGUCUGUAACAAUUUGUUGUUACGACUAAAUAAAUGGCUGUUUUAUAGGAAUUCCUACCAAAUUCUCAUGAGAGCAGCUCCCUGUUCAACUCAAAA